UGGGACCCAACAGAGGAUGAAUUGUGCUGGAAUAAGGGUAAAGUCAGGGGAAACUCUGGUGGAAGCUCGUAGCGAUUUUGACGUACAAAUUGAUUGUCAAAGUUGGGUAGAGGGCCAAAAGACUAAUC
This 128-nucleotide ribosomal RNA is filed under the name Fragilariopsis kerguelensis. RNAcentral's name for it is "partial Eukaryotic large subunit ribosomal RNA". It matches the Rfam family "Eukaryotic large subunit ribosomal RNA", at positions 810 to 936 of the family's 3401-position model. The record is from RNAcentral. Lineage: Eukaryota; Bacillariophyta; Bacillariophyceae; Bacillariales; Bacillariaceae.